AACGAACGCUGGCGGCGUGCCUAACACAUGCAAGUCGAGCGCGAAUGGAGCAAUCCUAGUAGCGCGGCGCACGGGUGCGUAACACGUGGGUAAUCUGCCUGGGAGACCGGAAUAACCUGCCGAAAGGCUGGCUAAUACCGGAUAAGCCCACGGACUCUUCGGAGUCUGAGGAAAGGUGCCUCUGUAUACAAGCUAUCACUUCCAGAUGAGCCCGCGGCCCANCAGCUCGUUGGCGGGGUAAAGGCCCACCAAGGCAACGACGGGUAGCUGGUCUGAGAGGACGAUCAGCCACACUGGAACUGAGACACGGUCCAGACUCCUACGGAGCAGCAGUGGGAAUUUUGCACAAUGGGCGAAAGCCUGAUGCAGCAACG
This 374-nucleotide ribosomal RNA is filed under the name uncultured bacterium. Its description in RNAcentral is "bacterial SSU rRNA". It matches the Rfam family "Bacterial small subunit ribosomal RNA", at positions 29 to 396 of the family's 1533-position model. The record is from RNAcentral.